RNAcentral lists this ribosomal RNA (945 nucleotides) under Salmonella enterica subsp. enterica serovar Agona str. SA-2. RNAcentral describes it as "bacterial SSU rRNA". It matches the Rfam family "Bacterial small subunit ribosomal RNA", at positions 600 to 1533 of the family's 1533-position model. Lineage: Bacteria; Pseudomonadati; Pseudomonadota; Gammaproteobacteria; Enterobacterales; Enterobacteriaceae. The record is from RNAcentral.
UCCCCGGGCUCAACCUGGGAACUGCAUUCGAAACUGGCAGGCUUGAGUCUUGUAGAGGGGGGUAGAAUUCCAGGUGUAGCGGUGAAAUGCGUAGAGAUCUGGAGGAAUACCGGUGGCGAAGGCGGCCCCCUGGACAAAGACUGACGCUCAGGUGCGAAAGCGUGGGGAGCAAACAGGAUUAGAUACCCUGGUAGUCCACGCCGUAAACGAUGUCUACUUGGAGGUUGUGCCCUUGAGGCGUGGCUUCCGGAGCUAACGCGUUAAGUAGACCGCCUGGGGAGUACGGCCGCAAGGUUAAAACUCAAAUGAAUUGACGGGGGCCCGCACAAGCGGUGGAGCAUGUGGUUUAAUUCGAUGCAACGCGAAGAACCUUACCUGGUCUUGACAUCCACAGAACUUUCCAGAGAUGGACUGGUGCCUUCGGGAACUGUGAGACAGGUGCUGCAUGGCUGUCGUCAGCUCGUGUUGUGAAAUGUUGGGUUAAGUCCCGCAACGAGCGCAACCCUUAUCCUUUGUUGCCAGCGGUCCGGCCGGGAACUCAAAGGAGACUGCCAGUGAUAAACUGGAGGAAGGUGGGGAUGACGUCAAGUCAUCAUGGCCCUUACGACCAGGGCUACACACGUGCUACAAUGGCGCAUACAAAGAGAAGCGACCUCGCGAGAGCAAGCGGACCUCAUAAAGUGCGUCGUAGUCCGGAUUGGAGUCUGCAACUCGACUCCAUGAAGUCGGAAUCGCUAGUAAUCGUGGAUCAGAAUGCCACGGUGAAUACGUUCCCGGGCCUUGUACACACCGCCCGUCACACCAUGGGAGUGGGUUGCAAAAGAAGUAGGUAGCUUAACCUUCGGGAGGGCGCUUACCACUUUGUGAUUCAUGACUGGGGUGAAGUCGUAACAAGGUAACCGUAGGGGAACCUGCGGUUGGAUCACCUCCUUACCUUAAAGAAGC